UUUAAAGUCUAGCCUGCCCAAUGAGGAGUUGAAUGGCCGCGGUAUUUUGACCGUGCAAAGGUAGCAUAAUCAUUAGUUUUUUAAUUGAAAGCUGGAAUGAAUGGUUGGACGAGAAAAUAGCUGUCUCAAUUUAAUUUAAUUAGAAUUUUAUUUAUAAGUUAAAAAGCUUAUAUAAUUUUAAAAGACGAGAAGACCCUAUAGAGUUUUAUAUUUAUUAAUGUUUAAUAUUUUUAGAAUGUUUUAAUUUUAUAUGUUAAUAAAUAUUUUAUUGGGGCGAUAGAAAAAUUAAAUAAACUUUUUUUAUAUUAUUACAUUGAUUUAUGGUUAUAUGAUCCGAUUUUUUUGAUUAUAAGAUUAAAUUACCUUAGGGAUAACAGCGUAAUUUUUUUUUAGAGUUCAUAUCGAAAAAAAAGUUUGCGACCUCGAUGUUGGAUUAAAAUUAACUUUUGGUGCAGAAGCUAAAAGGUUAGGUCUGUUCGACCUUUAAAAUUUUACAUGAUCUGAGUUUAAACCGGCGUGAGCCAGGUUGGUUUCUAUCUUUAAAUAAAUUAAAUAUUUUAGUACGAAAGGAUCAAGUAUUUAUAAUAAUUAUUAUAUAUUGAAUAUUAGUAUU
Molecule: ribosomal RNA, 613 nt
Filed under: Lepadoretus ovatoides
Lineage: Eukaryota; Metazoa; Arthropoda; Insecta; Coleoptera; Scarabaeidae
Description: partial 16S large subunit ribosomal RNA
Rfam family: Bacterial large subunit ribosomal RNA
Source: RNAcentral